AGCAGCCGCGGUAAUUCCAGCUCCAAUAGCGUAUAUUAAAGUUGUUGCAGUUAAAAAGCUCGUAGUUGAAUUUCGGGGUUAGCAGGUCGGUCGUGCCAUCGGUAUGAACUGGUCUCGCUGAUCCCUCCCUCUUGACGAACUGUGAUGCCAUUAAUUUGGUGUCGCAGGGAGUCAGGACUGUUACUUUGAAAAAAUUAGAGUGUUUAAAGCAGGCUCACGCUUGAAUACAUUAGCAUGGAAUAAUGAAAUAGGACGUUUGAUCCUAUUUUGUUGGCUUCUAGGAUUGACGUAAUGAUUAAUAGGGAUAGUUGGGGGCAUUAGUAUUCAAUUGUCAGAGGUGAAAUUCUUGGAUUUAUUGAAGACUAACUACUGCGAAAGCAUUUGCCAAGGAUGUUUUCAUUAAUCAAGAACGAAAGUUAGGGGAUCGAAGACGAUCAGAUACCGUCGUAGUCUUAACCAUAAACUAUGCCGACUAGGGAUCGGAUGAUGUUAAUUUUUUAAUGACUCAUUCGGUGCCUUA
RNAcentral lists this ribosomal RNA (520 nucleotides) under uncultured Glomus. Its description in RNAcentral is "SSU rRNA". It matches the Rfam family "Eukaryotic small subunit ribosomal RNA", at positions 569 to 1090 of the family's 1831-position model. Lineage: Eukaryota; Fungi; Glomeromycota; Glomeromycetes; Glomerales; Glomeraceae. The record is from RNAcentral.